GCAAGCGUUGUUCGGAAUUACUGGGCGUAAAGGGCGCGUAGGCGGCCUUCUAAGUCAGACGUGAAAUCCCCCGGCUUAACCUGGGAACUGCGUCUGAUACUGGGAGGCUAGAGUAUGGGAGAGGGAUGCGGAAUUCCAGGUGUAGCGGUGAAAUGCGUAGAUAUCUGGAGGAACACCGGUGGCGAAGGCGGCAUCCUGGACCGACACUGACGCUGAGGAGCGAAAGCCAGGGGAGCAAACGGG
RNAcentral lists this ribosomal RNA (243 nucleotides) under uncultured bacterium. RNAcentral's name for it is "partial 16S ribosomal RNA". It matches the Rfam family "Bacterial small subunit ribosomal RNA", at positions 534 to 776 of the family's 1533-position model. The record is from RNAcentral.